RNAcentral lists this ribosomal RNA (253 nucleotides) under uncultured bacterium. Its description in RNAcentral is "partial 16S ribosomal RNA". It matches the Rfam family "Bacterial small subunit ribosomal RNA", at positions 524 to 776 of the family's 1533-position model. The record is from RNAcentral.
UACGGAGGGUGCGAGCGUUGUCCGGAAUCAUUGGGCGUAAAGGGCGCGUAGGUGGCCCCUCAAGCGUGCGGUGAAAGUCAGGGGCUCAACCCCUGAUCGGCCGUGCGAACUGGGGAGCUUGAGCACUGUAGAGGCAGGCGGAAUUCCGGGUGUAGAGGUGAAAUUCGUAGAUAUUCGGAAGAACACCAGUGGCGAAGGCGACUCGCUGGACAAGUAUUGACGCUGAGGUGCGAAAGCGUGGGGAGCAAACAGG